RNAcentral lists this ribosomal RNA (406 nucleotides) under uncultured bacterium. RNAcentral describes it as "partial 16S ribosomal RNA". It matches the Rfam family "Bacterial small subunit ribosomal RNA", at positions 30 to 526 of the family's 1533-position model. The record is from RNAcentral.
AUUGAACGCUGGCGGCAGGCCUAACACAUGCAAGUCGAACGAGUGGCGGACGGGUGAGUAAUGGCUGGGAACCUGCCCGAUGGAGAGGGAUAACGACUGGAAACGGUAGCUACUACCGCAUACCAUCGGAUGUGCCCAGAGGGGGUUAGCUUGUAGGUGAGGUAACGGCUCACCUAGGCGACGAUCCCUAGCUGGUCUGAGAGGAUGAUCAGCCACACUGGAACUGAGACACGGUCCAGACUCCUACGGGAGGCAGCAGUGGGGAAUAUUGCACAAUGGGCGCAAGCCUGAUGCAGCCAUGCCGCGUGUGUGAAGAAGGCCUUCGGGUUGUAAAGUACUUUCAGCGGGGAGGCGUUACCCGCAGAAGAAGCACCGGCUAACUCCGUGCCAGCAGCCGCGGUAAUUC